GAACGCCGUGUAAAGGGAAACUUUCACGCACGGUGUGGACCGGGGGAAAAGGGGGAGGGGCGACAACCCCAAACCCUUACCUAUCGGUAU
This is a non-coding RNA of Hydrogenibacillus schlegelii, 90 nucleotides long. The record is from Rfam. Lineage: Bacteria; Bacillati; Bacillota; Bacilli; Thermicanales; Thermicanaceae.